GAUGAACGCUGGCGGCGUGCCUAAUACAUGCAAGUCGAGCGAACAGACGAGGAGCUUGCUCCUCUGACAUUAGCGGCGGACGGGUGAGUAACACGUGGAUAACCUACCUAUAAGACUGGGAUAACUUCGGGAAACCGGAGCUAAUACCGGAUAACAUGUUGAACCGCAUGGUUCAACAGUGAAAGACGGUCUUGCUGUCACUUAUAGAUGGAUCCGCGCCGCAUUAGCUAGUUGGUAAGGUAACGGCUUACCAAGGCAACGAUGCGUAGCCGACCUGAGAGGGUGAUCGGCCACACUGGAACUGAGACACGGUCCAGACUCCACGGGAGGCAGCAGUAGGGAAUCUUCCGCAAUGGGCGAAAGCCUGACGGAGCAACGCCGCGUGAGUGAAGAAGGUCUUCGGAUCGUAAAACUCUGUUAUUAGGGAAGAACAAAUGUGUAAGUAACUAUGCACGUCUUGACGGUACCUAAUCAGAAAGCCACGGCUAACUACGU
Molecule: ribosomal RNA, 495 nt
Filed under: uncultured bacterium
Lineage: Bacteria
Description: partial 16S ribosomal RNA
Rfam family: Bacterial small subunit ribosomal RNA
Source: RNAcentral